GAGUUUGAUCCUGGCUCAGGAUGAACGCUAGCGGCAGGCUUAACACAUGCAAGUCGAGGGGUAACGGGGAAGCUUGCUUCCGCCGACGACCGGCGCACGGGUGCGUAACGCGUAUACAAUCUACCUUGUACUGGGGUAUAGCCUUUAGAAAUGAAGAUUAAUCCCCCAUAGUCUCUUAGAGUGGCAUCACUUCUAGAGUAAAGGUUACGGUAUAAGAUGAGUAUGCGUUCUAUUAGUCUGUUGGUGUGGUAACGGCACACCAAGACUACGAUAGAUAGGGGCCCUGAGAGGGGGAUCCCCCACACUGGUACUGAGACACGGACCAGACUCCUACGGGAGGCAGCAGUGAGGAAUAUUGGACAAUGGAGGCAACUCUGAUCCAGCCAUGCCGCGUGCAGGAAGACUGCCCUAUGGGUUGUAAACUGCUUUUAUACAGGAAGAAACACCUCUACGUGUAGAGGCUUGACGGUACUGUAAGAAUAAGGAUCGGCUAACUCCGUGCCAGCAGCCGCGGUAAUACGGAGGAUCCAAGCGUUAUCCGGAAUCAUUGGGUUUAAAGGGUCCGUAGGUGGAUAAUUAAGUCAGAGGCGAAAUCUUGCAGCUCAACUGUAAAAUUGCCUUUGAAACUGGUUAUCUUGAGUUAUUAUGAAGUAGUUAGAAUAUGUAGUGUAGCGGUGAAAUGCAUAGAUAUUACAUAGAAUACCAAUUGCGAAGGCAGAUUACUAAUAAUCAACUGACACUGAUGGACGAAAGCGUGGGUAGCGAACAGGAUUAGAUACCCUGGUAGUCCACGCCGUAAACGAUGGUUACUAGCUGUUUGGACUUCGGUCUGAGUGGCUAAGCGAAAGUGAUAAGUAACCCACCUGGGGAGUACGUUCGCAAGAAUGAAACUCAAAGGAAUUGACGGGGGCCCGCACAAGCGGUGGAGCAUGUGGUUUAAUUCGAUGAUACGCGAGGAACCUUACCAGGGCUUAAAUGUAAGUUGCAUUAGUUAGAGAUAGCUAUUUCUUCGGACCACUUACAAGGUGCUGCAUGGUUGUCGUCAGCUCGUGCCGUGAGGUGUCAGGUUAAGUCCUAUAACGAGCGCAACCCCUGUUGUUAGUUGCCAGCGAGUCAUGUCGGGAACUCUAACAAGACUGCCAGUGCAAACUGUGAGGAAGGUGGGGAUGACGUCAAAUCAUCACGGCCCUUACGUCCUGGGCUACACACGUGCUACAAUGGUAGGUACAGAGAGCAGCCACUGCGCGAGCAGGAGCGAAUCUAUAAAACCUAUCACAGUUCGGAUCGGAGUCUGCAACUCGACUCCGUGAAGCUGGAAUCGCUAGUAAUCGGAUAUCAGCCAUGAUCCGGUGAAUACGUUCCCGGGCCUUGUACACACCGCCCGUC
RNAcentral lists this ribosomal RNA (1386 nucleotides) under uncultured marine bacterium. RNAcentral's name for it is "bacterial SSU rRNA". It matches the Rfam family "Bacterial small subunit ribosomal RNA". The record is from RNAcentral.